CACUGUACUAACAGAAACUUCAGAAGUAUGGCCACCAUCUUACUUCUGCCUUUUGGAUUUCACAGAGUGCUUUUGUCUGGGUAUAUUAGUCUGGAAACUGAAUGUUUUGCUUCUAGACUCUACCGCAGAAGAAAGCUACCUAAAGAACAGAGGCUGUGAAGCUACCUAAAGAACAGAAGCUAUGAAGCAGUCAUGAGUUCUUACAUACAUUGACUUAAAAAAUAAUGUAAAUUCAAUAAAUGGAAUCCAUAUUUGGCUACACUCAA
Molecule: long non-coding RNA, 266 nt
Organism: Panthera uncia (snow leopard)
Lineage: Eukaryota; Metazoa; Chordata; Mammalia; Carnivora; Felidae
Exons: 2
Source: RefSeq, a predicted model, not a curated record